Molecule: ribosomal RNA, 217 nt
Filed under: uncultured bacterium
Lineage: Bacteria
Description: partial 16S ribosomal RNA
Rfam family: Bacterial small subunit ribosomal RNA
Source: RNAcentral
UAACCUGCCUCUUAGCGGGGGAUAACUAUUGGAAACGAUAGCUAAUACCGCAUAAAAGUCGACAUCGCAUGAUGUUGACUUGAAAGGUGCAAUUGCAUCACUAAGAGAUGGACCUGCGUUGUAUUAGCUAGUUGGUGAGGUAACGGCUCACCAAGGCGACGAUACAUAGCCGACCUGAGAGGGUGAUCGACCACACUGGGACUGAGACACGGCCCAG